AUGUGCUCUUACACUGGCGAAAAGGAUGACCCACUGCGUCAUAGUCCCGACGACUUACCAGAUGAUGUGGUGGAGGCUACAGCCCAAGCGUUGUUGAAAGAGGGCACGGUGACUAGUAAUGCCUUUGGCUUACUUCCUUUCUGCAAGAAGAACCCGGCCCCCGCAGCCGAUGACAACUUCUGGAAGGUCAAGUAUGACCAUGAGGCGGCCAAACAAGCCAGAGCGGCAAAAAGAGCUGAAAGGAAAGCCGCCAAGACUAGAACUUCGAAGAAGAGGAAGCCAAGCGCUUCCGAUAUGUUUAAACUUGACGACACUGAUGACGAUGAAGAAGAGGAAGACACGGGGAACAGCCGAGCCGUCGAGGAAGUGGUAACUAUAAUCUCCUCCGACUCCGAGCCCUUGCCGCGUCAGAAAAUUCGAAGAGUAACCCGGAAAGUAAGAUUUUCACAUCCUUUGGCUUACCAAGAUCCUCAAUUUAUUUUGAAGCAACAACAAUUGGAAAGCCGGAGGCAGACCCGGACCAGCAAGGAUGUAGAGCUCUCCUCCGGCUUACCUGACGUAAUCAGGAAGCGUCAGACUGAGGAUACCUCUCCUUCCUCCGGCGAGUCUAUGCAAUCUAACAUGCCGACUUUCAAAACUGCCCCUGGCGUACAAGUGAAUCCCAGUAAGAGGGCAAAAAAGAGUAAGCCGUCCCAAGACCCAGUCGUGACUGAACCAGAGCUUGACACGACUGAUCCUAACAGUUCUACCCAUCAGCCGCCGCCUGAACCAGCCUAUGACAUUCCAGCACCAACCUCUGAUCCACCCGCCGAAGAUACUCUCAACAGCUCUGAUAACCCGAAAGCUCCUAGCCCGGCCAAGACAAUUGAUCCGGAAGUUGAGAUUCUAAAGAAUCAGUUUGUUGAGCCAGGGCAGCCCACUGUCCUUGCCAAGUGCUCUGCUAAGGAGGAACUGCUGGAACACCGAAAGGCCAAGCUAGACAUUGCUGACUAUACUCAUUUAAGCAUUGGCGAUAUAGUCUCUGGCUAUCUCAAUCAAGUACAUAGCAGCCGUGACCUGGAAAUUGACAUGGUGAAGCAAAUACAACAAAAAUCUGAGGUAUAA
RNAcentral lists this ribosomal RNA (1104 nucleotides) under Triticum aestivum (bread wheat). RNAcentral's name for it is "partial small subunit ribosomal RNA". Lineage: Eukaryota; Viridiplantae; Streptophyta; Magnoliopsida; Poales; Poaceae. The record is from RNAcentral.